RNAcentral lists this long non-coding RNA (976 nucleotides) under Cricetulus griseus (Chinese hamster). RNAcentral describes it as "lncRNA (ENSCGRG00015039598.1)". Lineage: Eukaryota; Metazoa; Chordata; Mammalia; Rodentia; Cricetidae. The record is from RNAcentral.
CAGUAUGGCUGCCGCGGCAAGCGAACUCCGGGUUCGGGACUUCUUUGGUGCAAACUGAGCGGAUCCUGCAGUAUGGCUGCCAUGGCAAGCAAGCUCCGGGCUAGGGUGAACAGAGUGAGAAAGGCUUCCACUAUGAUCUCUGGUUGUGUCUACAUCUUAGAGUUCCAGGGGUCUCUGGGCAGGAAGACCAAAAUGCUUGUCUGGCAACUGUCCUCUUCAUGCUGAUUCCUGGCUGUGGCAUAGGGAACUGGAGCUCGAAUGUGCCCUUUGUCCUCUCUGUACCACGGAGUCCACUUCCAGGUUCAAGACAGUUUCUGCAGAACUCCUGAAGGACAACAAAGGGAAUAAAGGGAAUAAAAAGAAAGCCACAAGACAUAAACACAGAAAACAAGGGUGAGAAAGCGAAGCAGACAACAGACGGAGGAUCUAAGUCUGAAAGGAAGGGAAGAAGUGGAAUGUCUGGGGACCCGGAAGCUUAUGAGCAUAGAGACCAGAAUUCCCGGGGCAGUAGCUGAUCCUAGGAGGUGAAGUAUAUGUGCUGGUAGGAUGCUUUACCGCAGUGUCUGGACCAUCAAUGGCCUUCCUUCUCUGCAGCAGAUACCCUCAGAAUGUACUUCCUAACAUACAAACACACAUACCAGCUCACCAUCAAUUUAAGGAAAAGAAUAGUCAUCCUCCACUACUUGCUAAAGUUGGGCCUCACUCUACUCAUAACUUCUCUAGUGGAUGACAGGUCACUUUCCCGCUUUUGGCAGCCAUCACAUGGUACAUGUGUAGGGGGCAGCUUUCUUGACCUUGAUCCUGGAUAUUCUCUGGUACUCUUGAGCAAGCUGACCUAGGAAAGAGAAGCCUCCAAUGGGGAUAACCUGCUUUAAGUCCAUUUUAUACCUACUGGUUUGGCCAGUGAGGCACUGGCAUUGAAAGCAGUCCACAUGACACCCUUCCUAUCUCACAACUACUUUGCUUGUUGACUCAG